RNAcentral lists this ribosomal RNA (492 nucleotides) under uncultured bacterium. RNAcentral describes it as "partial 16S ribosomal RNA". It matches the Rfam family "Bacterial small subunit ribosomal RNA", at positions 29 to 507 of the family's 1533-position model. The record is from RNAcentral.
AGUGAACGCUGGCGGUAGGCCUAACACAUGCAAGUCGAACGGCAGCACAGUAAGAGCUUGCUCUUACGGGUGGCGAGUGGCGGACGGGUGAGGAAUACAUCGGAAUCUACUUUUUCGUGGGGGAUAACGUAGGGAAACUUACGCUAAUACCGCAUACGACCUACGGGUGAAAGCAGGGGAUCUUCGGACCUUGCGCGAUUGAAUGAGCCGAUGUCGGAUUAGCUAGUUGGCGGGGUAAAGGCCCACCAAGGCGACGAUCCGUAGCUGGUCUGAGAGGGUGAUCAGCCACACUGGAACUGAGACACGGUCCAGACUCCUACGGGAGGCAGCAGUGGGGAAUAUUGGACAAAGGGCGCAAGCCUGAUCCAGCCAUACCGCGUGGGUGAAGAAGGCCUUCGGGUUGUAAAGCCCUUUUGUUGGGAAAGAAAAGCAGCAGGUUAAUACCCCGCUGUUCCGACGGUACCCAAAGAAUAAGCACCGGCUAACUUCGUG